UAGAUGUCAUGAGGAAAUUCUUCACUCAAGAGUGUGGUGAGGCACUGGAACAGGUUGCCCAGAGAAGUUGUGGAUUCCCCAUCCCUGGAGGUGUUCAAGACCAGGUUGGAUGAGGCCCAGGGCAACCUGAUUUGGUGGGUGGUAUCCCUGCCUGUGGCAGGGGAUGGGGGGAUGGAACUAGAUGAU
Long non-coding RNA from Oxyura jamaicensis (ruddy duck), 186 nucleotides. RefSeq lists it as uncharacterized. The transcript has 3 exons. Lineage: Eukaryota; Metazoa; Chordata; Aves; Anseriformes; Anatidae. The record is from RefSeq and is a predicted model, not a curated record.